AGUUUAAAUGUGGUAACAGAAACCUCUAAGUCCUGCUUCCUGUAUUUAAUUAAAAACAAUUUCAAACCAUAAAUUGACGAAUAAAAAAUCAUUCUAAAAAUACCAUUGAAUUUCUCAAUUUACCCUACUUGUCACCAAACUACUUUGUAAACAACUCUAAUUAACCAUUUGAAUACGAUAUCAAAUCACCGAAACAAAUAACCAGAUGAUAUCAAUAAGGCAACGUAGAUUUUUCAAAAAUUAACAAGUUUCAAAACAGUAUGCCACAUAAAUUAAUGUGUUUAUCUAGUUGCGUCGAAGCUUUUUCUGGAUCUUUCAAGCUCUUAAUCACAUUUAUUGUUCGCUUGUUAGAUAGAAUUACCAUGCAUAGAUGGGUUAAAAGGCAAGUUUAUAUUUAUUUCUUUUACGUGGAAUUUUAAACUUUUUAUUUGUAAUAAAAUAUUGUUCACGUUUUGACGUAUCUAUGAUAGCUUUAUAAAUGGUCCUGGUAUCUUUUAUGAGUUUAUUUAUAGCUGCAGUAAA
Molecule: long non-coding RNA, 522 nt
Filed under: Mytilus galloprovincialis (Mediterranean mussel)
Lineage: Eukaryota; Metazoa; Mollusca; Bivalvia; Mytilida; Mytilidae
Source: RNAcentral